Molecule: transfer RNA, 70 nt
Filed under: Opisthocomus hoazin
Lineage: Eukaryota; Metazoa; Chordata; Aves; Opisthocomiformes; Opisthocomidae
Description: tRNA-Lys
Source: RNAcentral
CAUUGAGAAGCUAUGUAUCAGCACUAGCCUUUUAAGCUAGAGAAAGAGGCCUACCUAUCCUCCUCAAUGG